GAGAAUGAUCCGAUCAAUGUUGCGUUUGUCGAUGUUGGGCAUGCCAGCAUGCAGGUUUGCAUUGCUGGAUUCAAGAAGGGGCAGCUCAAGAUACUGGCCCAUUCCUACGACAGGUCCCUUGGUGGUAGGGAUUUUGAUGAAGCAUUGUUCACGCAUUUUGCUGCCAAGUUCAAGGAUGAGUACAAGAUUGAUGUCUAUCAGAAUGCCCGUGCUUGCCUCCGGCUCCGUGCAGCUUGUGAGAAGCUGAAGAAGAUGUUGAGUGCUAACCCUGAGGCUCCGCUGAAUAUCGAGUGUUUAAUGGAUGAGAAGGAU
Molecule: unclassified non-coding RNA, 312 nt
Filed under: Hevea brasiliensis (rubber tree)
Lineage: Eukaryota; Viridiplantae; Streptophyta; Magnoliopsida; Malpighiales; Euphorbiaceae
Source: RNAcentral